UACGGAGGGGGCAAGCGUUAUCCGGAAUUAUUGGGCGUAAAGCGUCCGUAGGUGGCACUUCAAGUCUGUCGUCAAAGACUGGGGCUUAACCCUGGAAAGGCGGUGGAAACUGAAGCGCUAGAGUGCGGUAGGGGUAGAGGGAAUUCCCGGUGUAGCGGUGAAAUGCGUAGAGAUCGGGAAGAACAUCGGUGGCGAAAGCGCUCUACUGGACCGCAACUGACACUCAGGGACGAAAGCUAGGGGAGCGAAUGGG
RNAcentral lists this ribosomal RNA (253 nucleotides) under uncultured bacterium. Its description in RNAcentral is "partial 16S ribosomal RNA". It matches the Rfam family "Bacterial small subunit ribosomal RNA", at positions 524 to 776 of the family's 1533-position model. The record is from RNAcentral.